This 107-nucleotide small RNA is filed under the name Epilithonimonas zeae. RNAcentral's name for it is "Chryseobacterium zeae Flavo-1 RNA". It matches the Rfam family "Flavo-1 RNA". Lineage: Bacteria; Pseudomonadati; Bacteroidota; Flavobacteriia; Flavobacteriales; Weeksellaceae. The record is from RNAcentral.
CCCUAGCCCCGAUUGCAACGGCAUCCUUUUUUGUUUUUGUUCCUCAGUUCGAUUGAAUGACAAAUCUUCUAAAAACAAAAAAGAUAUAGUGGAAAGCGGGAUUAAGC